This 2905-nucleotide ribosomal RNA is filed under the name Escherichia albertii. RNAcentral's name for it is "23S ribosomal RNA". It matches the Rfam family "Bacterial large subunit ribosomal RNA". Lineage: Bacteria; Pseudomonadati; Pseudomonadota; Gammaproteobacteria; Enterobacterales; Enterobacteriaceae. The record is from RNAcentral.
GGUUAAGCGACUAAGCGUACACGGUGGAUGCCCUGGCAGUCAGAGGCGAUGAAGGACGUGCUAAUCUGCGAAAAGCGUCGGUAAGGUGAUAUGAACCGUUAUAACCGGCGAUGUCCGAAUGGGGAAACCCAGUGUGUUUCGACACACUAUCAUUAACUGAAUCCAUAGGUUAAUGAGGCGAACCGGGGGAACUGAAACAUCUAAGUACCCCGAGGAAAAGAAAUCAACCGAGAUUCCCCCAGUAGCGGCGAGCGAACGGGGAGGAGCCCAGAGCCUGAAUCAGUGUGUGUGUUAGUGGAAGCGUCUGGAAAGGCGCGCGAUACAGGGUGACAGCCCCGUACACAAAAAUGCACAUGCUGUGAGCUCGAUGAGUAGGGCGGGACACGUGGUAUCCUGUCUGAAUAUGGGGGGACCAUCCUCCAAGGCUAAAUACUCCUGACUGACCGAUAGUGAACCAGUACCGUGAGGGAAAGGCGAAAAGAACCCCGGCGAGGGGAGUGAAAAAGAACCUGAAACCGUGUACGUACAAGCAGUGGGAGCCCUGAUUUAUCAGGGUGACUGCGUACCUUUUGUAUAAUGGGUCAGCGACUUAUAUUCUGUAGCAAGGUUAACCGAAUAGGGGAGCCGGAGGGAAACCGAGUCUUAACUGGGCGUUAAGUUGCAGGGUAUAGACCCGAAACCCGGUGAUCUAGCCAUGGGCAGGUUGAAGGUUGGGUAACACUAACUGGAGGACCGAACCGACUAAUGUUGAAAAAUUAGCGGAUGACUUGUGGCUGGGGGUGAAAGGCCAAUCAAACCGGGAGAUAGCUGGUUCUCCCCGAAAGCUAUUUAGGUAGCGCCUCGUGAAUUCAUCUCCGGGGGUAGAGCACUGUUUCGGCAAGGGGGUCAUCCCGACUUACCAACCCGAUGCAAACUGCGAAUACCGGAGAAUGUUAUCACGGGAGACACACGGCGGGUGCUAACGUCCGUCGUGAAGAGGGAAACAACCCAGACCGCCAGCUAAGGUCCCAAAGUCAUGGUUAAGUGGGAAACGAUGUGGGAAGGCCCAGACAGCCAGGAUGUUGGCUUAGAAGCAGCCAUCAUUUAAAGAAAGCGUAAUAGCUCACUGGUCGAGUCGGCCUGCGCGGAAGAUGUAACGGGGCUAAACCAUGCACCGAAGCUGCGGCAGCGACACUGUGUGUUGUUGGGUAGGGGAGCGUUCUGUAAGCCUGCGAAGGUGUGCUGUGAGGUAUGCUGGAGGUAUCAGAAGUGCGAAUGCUGACAUAAGUAACGAUAAAGCGGGUGAAAAGCCCGCUCGCCGGAAGACCAAGGGUUCCUGUCCAACGUUAAUCGGGGCAGGGUGAGUCGACCCCUAAGGCGAGGCCGAAAGGCGUAGUCGAUGGGAAACAGGUUAAUAUUCCUGUACUUGGUGUUACUGCGAAGGGGGGACGGAGAAGGCUAUGUUGGCCGGGCGACGGUUGUCCCGGUUUAAGCGUGUAGGCUGGUUUUCCAGGCAAAUCCGGAGAAUCAAGGCUGAGGCGUGAUGACGAGGCACUACGGUGCUGAAGCGACAAAUGCCCUGCUUCCAGGAAAAGCCUCUAAGCAUCAGGUAACAUCAAAUCGUACCCCAAACCGACACAGGUGGUCAGGUAGAGAAUACCAAGGCGCUUGAGAGAACUCGGGUGAAGGAACUAGGCAAAAUGGUGCCGUAACUUCGGGAGAAGGCACGCUGAUAUGUAGGUGAAGCGACUUGCUCGUGGAGCUGAAAUCAGUCGAAGAUACCAGCUGGCUGCAACUGUUUAUUAAAAACACAGCACUGUGCAAACACGAAAGUGGACGUAUACGGUGUGACGCCUGCCCGGUGCCGGAAGGUUAAUUGAUGGGGUCAGCGCAAGCGAAGCUCUUGAUCGAAGCCCCGGUAAACGGCGGCCGUAACUAUAACGGUCCUAAGGUAGCGAAAUUCCUUGUCGGGUAAGUUCCGACCUGCACGAAUGGCGUAAUGAUGGCCAGGCUGUCUCCACCCGAGACUCAGUGAAAUUGAACUCGCUGUGAAGAUGCAGUGUACCCGCGGCAAGACGGAAAGACCCCGUGAACCUUUACUAUAGCUUGACACUGAACACUGGUCCUUGAUGUGUAGGAUAGGUGGGAGGCUUUGAAGUGUGGACGCCAGUCUGCAUGGAGCCGUCCUUGAAAUACCACCCUUUAAUGGCUGGUGUUCUAACGUUGGCCCCUUAUCGGGGUUGCGGACAGUGUCUGGUGGGUAGUUUGACUGGGGCGGUCUCCUCCUAAAGAGUAACGGAGGAGCACGAAGGUUGGCUAAUCCUGGUCGGACAUCAGGAGGUUAGUGCAAUGGCAUAAGCCAGCUUGACUGCGAGCGUGACGGCGCGAGCAGGUGCGAAAGCAGGUCAUAGUGAUCCGGUGGUUCUGAAUGGAAGGGCCAUCGCUCAACGGAUAAAAGGUACUCCGGGGAUAACAGGCUGAUACCGCCCAAGAGUUCAUAUCGACGGCGGUGUUUGGCACCUCGAUGUCGGCUCAUCACAUCCUGGGGCUGAAGUAGGUCCCAAGGGUAUGGCUGUUCGCCAUUUAAAGUGGUACGCGAGCUGGGUUUAGAACGUCGUGAGACAGUUCGGUCCCUAUCUGCCGUGGGCGCUGGAGAACUGAGGGGGGCUGCUCCUAGUACGAGAGGACCGGAGUGGACGCAUCACUGGUGUUCGGGUUGUCAUGCCAAUGGCACUGCCCGGUAGCUAAAUGCGGAAGAGAUAAGUGCUGAAAGCAUCUAAGCACGAAACUUGCCCCGAGAUGAGUUCUCCCUGAGACUUAGAGUCUCCUGAAGGAACGUUGAAGACGACGACGUUGAUAGGCCGGGUGUGUAAGCGCAGCGAUGCGUUGAGCUAACCGGUACUAAUGAACCGUGAGGCUUAACCUU